UACGAAGGGGGCUAGCGUUGUUCGGAUUUACUGGGCGUAAAGCGCACGUAGGCGGUUUGUUAAGUGAGAGGUGAAAUCCCAGAGCUCAACUCUGGAACUGCCUUUCAUACUGGCAAGCUAGAGUCCGGAAGAGGUAAGUGGAACUCCUAGUGUAGAGGUGGAAUUCGUAGAUAUUAGGAAGAACACCAGUGGCGAAGGCGGCUUACUGGUCCGGAACUGACGCUGAGGUGCGAAAGCGUGGGGAGCAAACAGG
Molecule: ribosomal RNA, 253 nt
Filed under: uncultured bacterium
Lineage: Bacteria
Also listed under: 2 other names
Description: partial 16S ribosomal RNA
Rfam family: Bacterial small subunit ribosomal RNA
Source: RNAcentral